UCCGAAGGGGGUUAUCGUUGCUCGGAAUCACUGGGCGUAAAGCGCACGUAGGCGGAUUGCUAAGUCAGGGGUGAAAUCCUGGAGCUCAACUCCAGAACUGCCUUUGAUACUGGCGACCUUGAGUCCGGGAGAGGUGAGUGGAACUGCGAGUGUAGAGGUGAAAUUCGUAGAUAUUCGCAAGAACACCAGUGGCGAAGGCGGCUCACUGGCCCGGUACUGACGCUGAGGUGCGAAAGCGUGGGGAGCAAACAGG
Molecule: ribosomal RNA, 253 nt
Filed under: uncultured bacterium
Lineage: Bacteria
Description: partial 16S ribosomal RNA
Rfam family: Bacterial small subunit ribosomal RNA
Source: RNAcentral